GAGUAAUGCAUGGGUAACGUGCCUUGGGUACAGGGAUAGCGGCGCCCGCAAGGGCUUUAGCGAAAGUGCCGGUAAUACCUGAUGACAUCCACGGGGCGCAUGUCCUGUGGAUCAAAGACGGGGACCUUCGGGCCUGUUGACCUGAGAUCGACCCAUGUCCUAUCAGCUUGUUGGUGGGGUAACGGCCUACCAAGGCAACGACGGGUAGCCGGCUGUGAGAGCGCGACCGGCCACAUCGGGACUGAGACACUGCCCGGACACCUACGGGUGGCUGCAGCAACGAAUAUUCCGCAAUGGGCGCAAGCCUGACGGAGCGACGCCGCGUUAAGGAUGAAGUCCUUCGGGAUGUAAACUUGUAUAGUUUGUCAGAAAGCGAACCGGGCUAAUAACCCCCGGCGAGUUGAUCGGCAAACGAAAGGGUGGCUAACUCCGUGCCAGCAGCCGCGGUAAGACGGAGACCCCUAGCGUUGUUCGGAAUUACUGGGCUUAAAGGGCGUGUAGGCGGAGCGGUAAGUACCUUGUGAAAGCCCUGGGGCUCAACCGGGGAAUUGCUUGAUGUACUGCUUUUCUUGAGGCAGGCAGGGGUGCAUAGAACUCUUGGUGGAGCGGUGGAAUGCGUAGAUAUCAAGAGGAAUGCCGGCGGUGAAGACGGUGCACUGGGCCUGCCCUGACGCUGAUACACGAAAGCGUGGGGAGCGAACGGGAUUAGAUACCCCGGUAGUCCACGCCCUAAACUAUGUCUACUAGGUUGAGGCGGUUCUGACACCGUCUUGGCCGUAAGCUAAAGUGUUAAGUAGACCGCCUGGGGAGUACGGUCGCAAGGCUAAAACUCAAAGGAAUUGACGGGGGCUCACACAAGCGGUGGAGCAUGUGGAUCAAUUCGAAGCAACGCGCAGAACCUUACCUGGGUUUGACAUGCUUGGAUGCCUUUCCCGAAAGGGAGUAGGCUGCCCGCAAGGGUGAAACUGCACAGGUGCUGCAUGGCUGUCGUCAGCUCGUGUCGUGAGAUGUUGGGUUAAGUCCCGCAACGAGCGCAACCCUUACCCCUUGUUGCUACCAGGUCAUGCUGAGCACUCUAGGGGGACUGCCGGUAAUAAACCGGAGGAAGGUGAGGAUGACGUCAAAUCAUCACGGCCUUUAUGUCCAGGGCUACACACGUGAUACAUGGUCGGUACAAAGAGCUGCGAGACCGCGAGGUGGAGCUAAUCUCAAAAACCGGCCUCAGUUCGGAUUGUAGUAA
RNAcentral lists this ribosomal RNA (1240 nucleotides) under uncultured bacterium. Its description in RNAcentral is "bacterial SSU rRNA". It matches the Rfam family "Bacterial small subunit ribosomal RNA", at positions 108 to 1306 of the family's 1533-position model. The record is from RNAcentral.